This 467-nucleotide ribosomal RNA is filed under the name Escherichia coli. RNAcentral's name for it is "bacterial SSU rRNA". The record is from RNAcentral. Lineage: Bacteria; Pseudomonadati; Pseudomonadota; Gammaproteobacteria; Enterobacterales; Enterobacteriaceae.
UUUCCUACGGGAGGCAGCAGUGGGGAAUAUUGCACAAUGGGCGCAAGCCUGAUGCAGCCAUGCCGCGUGUUGAAGAAGGCCUUCGGGUUGUAAAGUACUUUCAGCGGGGAGGAAGGGAGUAAGUUAAUACCUUUGCUCAUUGACGUUACUCGCAGAAGAAGCACCGGCUAACUCCGUGCCAGCAGCCGCGGUAAUACGGAGGGUGCAAGCGUUAAUCGGAAUUACUGGGCGUAAAGCGCACGCAGGCGGUUUGUUAAGUCAGAUGUGAAAUCCCCGGGCUCAACCUGGGAACUGCAUYUGAUACUGGCAAGCUUGAGUCUCGUAGAGGGGGGUAGAAUUCCAGGUGUAGCGGUGAAAUGCGUAGAGAUCUGGAGGAAUACCGGUGGCGAAGGCGGCCCCCUGGACGAAGACUGACGCUCAGGUGCGAAAGCGUGGGGGAGCAAACAGGAUUAGAUACCCUGGUAGUC